RNAcentral lists this ribosomal RNA (316 nucleotides) under uncultured bacterium. Its description in RNAcentral is "bacterial SSU rRNA". It matches the Rfam family "Bacterial small subunit ribosomal RNA", at positions 28 to 334 of the family's 1533-position model. The record is from RNAcentral.
GACGAACGCUGGCGGCGUGCUUAACACAUGCAAGUCGAGCGGGGAUCAUGGAAGUGCUUGCACAGAAGUGAUUCUAGCGGCGGACGGGUGAGUAACGCGUGAGCAAUCUGUCCUACACAGGGGGGAUAACACUUGGAAACAGGUGCUAAUACCGCAUAAGACCACGAGGCGGCAUCGCUUUGAGGUAAAAGAUUUAUCGGUGUAGGGUGAGCUCGCGUCCCAUUAGCUAGUUGGUGAGGUAACGGCCCACCAAGGCGACGAUGGGUAGCCGACCUGAGAGGGUGAUCGGCCACAUUGGAACUGAGACGCGGUCCAG